UCCAGGUGAAUAAUUACAAGGUAGAUAAAUGUUGCUUAAGUGUCUAAGGAAACAAUGAUCAGAAUUGUGUGUGGUUUGAUUCCGGGAUUAGUAAGUCGUAUUUAGGAGAAGAUAAGAAAAAUUGAAAAAGAUGACAGACGCUCAGGAUGUUAUGAAAACAUUUAUAUCUUCAUAUCUUCUACAUAUGCUUCGAUGGAUGCAUUCCAAAUACGCCCGACAGGAAGAAUUAUGGUGGAAAUUUUCUUUGAAAUACU
Molecule: long non-coding RNA, 254 nt
Organism: Octopus sinensis (East Asian common octopus)
Lineage: Eukaryota; Metazoa; Mollusca; Cephalopoda; Octopoda; Octopodidae
Exons: 3
Source: RefSeq, a predicted model, not a curated record